Molecule: ribosomal RNA, 428 nt
Filed under: uncultured archaeon
Lineage: Archaea
Description: bacterial SSU rRNA
Rfam family: Archaeal small subunit ribosomal RNA
Source: RNAcentral
AACCAGCUCUUCGAGUGGUCGGGAUAAUUAUUGGGCUUAAAGUGUCCGUAGCCGGUUUAGUAAGUUCCUGGUAAAAUCGGGUAGCUUAACUAUUCGUAUGCUAGGAAUACUGCUAUACUAGAGGGCGGGAGAGGUCUGAGGUACUACAGGGGUAGGGGUGAAAUCUUAUGAUCCUUGUAGGACCACCAGUGGCGAAGGCGUCAGACUGGAACGCGCCUGACGGUGAGGGACGAAAGCCAGGGGAGCGAACCGGAUUAGAUACCCGGGUAGUCCUGGCCGUAAACGAUGCAUACUAGGUGAUGGCACGGCCGUGAGCCGUGUCAGUGCCGUAGGGAAACCGUUAAGUGUGCCGCCUGGGAAGUACGGUCGCAAGGCUAAAACUUAAAGGAAUUGGCGGGGAGCACCACAAGGGGUGAAGCCUGCGGUUC